This 210-nucleotide unclassified non-coding RNA is filed under the name soil metagenome. RNAcentral describes it as "partial contains 5.8S ribosomal RNA, internal transcribed spacer 2, and large subunit ribosomal RNA". The record is from RNAcentral.
AACCUAGCACACCUGCGGUGUGUACCUGCGGAGGGAUCAUUACCGAGUUUACAACUCCCAAACCCCUGUGAACAUACCUAUACGUUGCCUCGGCGGAUCAGCCCGCGCCCCGUAAAAAGGGACGGCCCGCCCGAGGACCCCUAAACUCUGUUUUUAGUGGAACUUCUGAGUAAAACAAACAAAUAAAUCAAAACUUUCAACAACGGAUCU